Camellia sinensis is the source of this 572-nucleotide non-coding RNA. Lineage: Eukaryota; Viridiplantae; Streptophyta; Magnoliopsida; Ericales; Theaceae. The record is from RefSeq and is a predicted model, not a curated record.
UUGAAAAAAAACAAGAGAGAGAGAGAGGGGGGAAGCUGGUGGUGUUGUUGGUGGCUUGGUGUCUUUUUCGCAGAUUCCUAUCUCUGUUGAAUGAAGCAGAGGAGAAAGAUUGGAGAGCCAUAGCUUUCUCUCUCUCUCUCUCUUAUUGAUCAAGAAAUUUAGGGAGAGAGACAAAUUAGGGUUUCGUUUCAGAAACCAUAAUGAAUGUCAUGCGUCGCCUCAAGAGCAUCGCUUCCGGCCGCUCCUCUGUCUCCGAUCUUGUAUAGAAAAGUUUGGGCUUUGGUGGUAAUGUGGUGGUGAAAGUGGUUUAGUUAUUCAACAACAGCUAUGGGUUCUUCUUAUUUUGAGGGUUAGAAAUUUUUUGGAGAGAUGCAAAAUAUGGUCAAAGAAUUCAAUGACUUAAUUUUUCAAGUUUUUUAUUUUAUUUUUAUUUUUUAAUAUAUGUAAGCACAGUUUAAAUUUUUUUAUUUAAUUCCUUUGUAUAUACUUUUGAACAUAUUUAACUUUCAUUUACGAAAUAUAUGGCGCUAUUUCAUUGAAUAUGUGGUUAUGAUUCAAAGUAUAGUAUAUAG